This 1245-nucleotide long non-coding RNA is filed under the name Anas platyrhynchos platyrhynchos (common mallard). RNAcentral describes it as "lncRNA (ENSAPLG00000027431.1)". The record is from RNAcentral. Lineage: Eukaryota; Metazoa; Chordata; Aves; Anseriformes; Anatidae.
GGAUCGGGGAUGGGGGCGUUGGGGACCCCCGCGUCUUCGCAAGCGGGGUUGCCAAGGGAACGCCGGCAUCGGCACGGCACCGGCGGCAGGCCCCAUAGGACCCACAUCAGGCCCUAUAACACCAGCAUCAGGCCCUAUAACCCCGGCAUCAGGCCCUAUAGGACCCGCAUCAGGCCCUAUAACACCGGACUCGUGCCCCAUAGCACCGGCAUCGUGCCCCAUGGCACUGGCACGGCACCCCAUGGCACGGCGCCCCAUGGCACGGUGCCCCAUGGCACGGCACCCCAAUGCCCGGCACCCCAUGGCCCCACUCCUGCCGGUCCCGUUUCCCCUCCUGCGGCACCGUUUCUCCCCGCCACCGGAAUCCCUUCCCGCGGCCCUGCCGCAUCGCUGCCCGCGGCACCGGCACCGCUCCCGUGGGAUCCCCCUGCCUAUGGGGUCCCCUUUCCUAUGGGGUCCCCUUUCCUAUGGGACCCCAUUUCCUAUGGGAUCCCCCCUUCUUAUGGGACCUGCUUCCUAUGGAUCCCCUUUCCUAUGGGAUCCCCCUUCCUAAGGGACCCCAUUCCUAUGGGAACCCCCUUCCUAUGGGUCCCCCUUCCUAUGGGGUUCCCCUUCCUAUGGGUCCCCAUUCCUAUGGGAUCCCCUUUCCUAUGGGAUCCCCUUCCUAUGGAUCCCCUUUCUUAUGGGGUCCCCUUUCCUAUCGGAUCCCCUUUCCUAUGGAUUCCCAUUCCUAUGGGGACCCCCUUCCUAUGGGAUCCCCUUUCCCAUGGGCCCCCACUUCCUAUAGGACCCCCUUUCCUAUGUGAUCCCCCCUUCUUAUGGAACCGCCUUCCUAUGGAUCCCAAUUCCUAUGGGAUCCCCCUUCCUAUGGGGUCCCCUUUCCCAUGGAUCCCCCUUCCUAUGGAUUCCCAUUCCUAUGGGAUCCCCUUUCCUAGGGGAUCCCCCUUCCUAUGGGACCCCAUUCCUAUAGGACCCCCUUUCCUAUGGGACCUGCUUCCUAUGGGAUCCCCAUUCCUAUGGGAUCUGCUUCCUAUGGGAUCCCCAUUCCUAUGGAUCCCCCUUCCUAUGGGAUCCCCUCCCCUAUGGGACCCCACUUCCUACGGGACCCCUUUUCUCACCGGAUCCCCUUUCCUAUAGGAUCCCUUCCCAUGGGAUCCGUUUCCCUGGGAUCCUUUCCCGUGGGAUCCCUUCCCGCAGCCCCGGCCUCGCUCCCGGUGGUGCCGGUGGGGCGGGCACGAAGCUCAG